CCCUGGUUAGCUCAGUUGGUAGAGCGCUCCACCUGUAAUGGAGAGGUCCCGGGUUCGAUACCCGGCCCAGGCG
Molecule: transfer RNA, 73 nt
Filed under: Ixodes scapularis (black-legged tick)
Lineage: Eukaryota; Metazoa; Arthropoda; Arachnida; Ixodida; Ixodidae
Rfam family: tRNA
About the family: Transfer RNA (tRNA) molecules are approximately 80 nucleotides in length. Their secondary structure includes four short double-helical elements and three loops (D, anti-codon, and T loops).
Source: Rfam by way of RNAcentral